Molecule: ribosomal RNA, 495 nt
Filed under: uncultured bacterium
Lineage: Bacteria
Description: partial 16S ribosomal RNA
Rfam family: Bacterial small subunit ribosomal RNA
Source: RNAcentral
GAUGAACGCUGGCGGCGUGCUUAACACAUGCAAGUCGAACGAAGCACCUCUCCCGAAGAUUGACACAGCUUGCUGUAGGUUGAUUCAUUUGAGGUGACUGAGUGGCGGACGGGUGAGUAACGCGUGGGUAACCUGCCUCAUAGAGGGGGACAACAGUUGGAAACGACUGCUAAUACCGCAUAGUAAGAAGAAUUCGCAUGUUUUCUUCUUGAAAGAUUUAUCGCUAUGAGAUGGACCCGCGUCUGAUUAGCUAGUUGGUAAGGUAACGGCUUACCAAGGCGACGAUCAGUAGCCGGCUUGAGAGAGUGAACGGCCACAUUGGGACUGAGACACGGCCCAAACUCCUACGGGAGGCAGCAGUGGGGAAUAUUGCACAAUGGGGGAAACCCUGAUGCAGCGACGCCGCGUGAGUGAAGAAGUAUUUCGGUAUGUAAAGCUCUAUCAGCAGGGAAGAUAAUGACGGUACCUGACUAAGAAGCCCCGGCUAACUACGUG